GCGGGUAUAGUUUAGUGGUAAAAG
This 24-nucleotide transfer RNA is filed under the name Aegilops comosa. RNAcentral describes it as "partial tRNA-Gly". RNAcentral also lists the same sequence under 8 other names. The record is from RNAcentral. Lineage: Eukaryota; Viridiplantae; Streptophyta; Magnoliopsida; Poales; Poaceae.